Molecule: long non-coding RNA, 3221 nt
Organism: Anthonomus grandis grandis
Lineage: Eukaryota; Metazoa; Arthropoda; Insecta; Coleoptera; Curculionidae
Exons: 5
Source: RefSeq, a predicted model, not a curated record
AGAGUCAGACUUUUUAAAACCCACGUAGAACACCCUGACGAAUUAAGAAGCAAAAGGCUAACCAAAUCAGAACAGGAGAUAAUUGUGGAUAAAUUAGCAGCAGGAGUUUCAAAUAAGAGAAUUAUUCAGGAGGCCAGAAGCAUAGACGGCAAUAAGCUACAAAGGAAACAUUGUAUAACAAGAGCAGAUUUAGAGUACCUAAUACAAAAAUUUAAUAUUGACAAGAAAAGGGACAGUGAUAAUAUGAUAGCCACAGUGUUAAAAAUUCACGAAUGGAACAGUGAGGGAAAAAUCAUGGAUUUUUAUUUAAACAGAUAGGACAGGAGAAACUUAUCCAAGAUUAGAAAAAGAUGAUUUUGCAGUUGGAUACAUGAAUGCUAUUAUGGAAAAAAAUUAAGAGAUUUUCUCAUGGAACUCAUGGAACAAAUAGGAGAAACUGGGACUUUACAAUUGUGCUAUAAGAGAUGGACAAAAUAUGGGUUCUCCAGUCGCAUUCUUACUAAGUAACAGAUUAGAUCAAUUAUUUCAAGAGGUUUUUUAGGGCACUUAAAAUUAGAUUAGGAGAAGCAAUUCAAGCUGAAUAUAAAGGGUGUUUUUUUAGAGGCGGAGAACUUUAAAUUGAAAUUAAACACAAAAUAUUUUAUUGAUAUGAACGAAUUUGCUUUUAUAUUAAAGAAUUAUUUUUUUUUGGGCAUUAAUAUUUAAAAAUAAUUUCGGGCAUGUGACCCCCACGGCUGGCGCGUACGUGGCGUAAUCUAGAAGUCCACUUUCCACACAUUCUUUCCAGUACUCCAGGCUGUAUUUCAGCAAUCACGGGUAUAUAUUGGCUUCCAAGUGCUCAAGUGUUUCGGGUUUAUCAGCGUAGACAUGCGACUUAACAUAGCCCCAAAGAAAAUAAUUUAAUGGCGUCAAGUCGCACGAACAAGCUGGCCAGUUUACAGGUCCAUUCCUUGAAAUUAAUUGUUUAGCGCGCUGUAUGGCACGUGGCACCGUCCUGCUAAAACCACAUUUCUGCAACGCCUGCAAAGGCUUUCAAUUGAGUUGUUAUCUGUUAUAUUAAAUUUGGUUAUCAUGUUUCUGUAUCGCUCACCGUUUACUGUAACGUUCUGACCAUCAGCAUUUCUGAAGACAUAAGGACCAAUGAUUCCACCGGCCCGUAAAGCGCACCAAAUGGUUAGUUUUUCUGGAUGUAACGGUUUCUCGACAAUAGCUCGUGGAUUCUCAUCCCCCAAAUUCGGCAAAUAUGCUUGUUUACAUAGCCAUUUUACCAAAAGUGUGCUUCAUCACUGAACAAAAUUUUCAUAGGAAAUCGUGGAUCAACAGCAAUCUCUCCUUCCGCCCAUUCAGCUAAUGUACGGCGCAAAAGAUGAUCCUGGGGUUUCAACUCCUGGACAAGUUGAAUUUUAUAUGCUCGCAAUCCGAGAUCGUUGCGCAAAAUUUUCCAUUAAGUGGAUGGACCUAAGUUGACUUGUUGAGAACGACUACGAAUUGACACAUUUGGAUCAUUAUCAACACUAUGCUGCACAGCAGCAAUCGAUUGUUGCGUGCGCACUGUACGGCGUCUUACGGGAUGCGUAUUGUCGACUAGAGUAAAAGUAUUGCGAAAAUAAUCAACAGUUUCUCGAAUUAAUCUCUCUGAAGGACGAUUAUGAGCACCAUAAAACCCACGUAAUGCUCAAUGUGUUUCUCGAAUAGAACCAUGUCUUUCAAAAUAAAUUUGAACAAUUUGAAAACGUUGCUCCGACGUGAGUCUGUUCAUGAUGAAUUGCCAAACCAAACUAAUCUAAAAAUAAUCCAGAACUAUCAGGUCGGCUGAUAUAAAAAACAGUGUUGCCAAAUAAAAGUUCUCCGCCUCUAAAAAAAACACCCUUUAUAAUGAGUGAUAACGAUCCAAAAUAUUACAAUGCAUAGAUAAUGGCUAUGGAUGCAGAACAUAAACCAAGAAGAUUACUUUGUACCUGGCAUAUAGUGAAAAAUUGGAACAUACAAGAAAGGUCUAAAAUUAAGAAGUUCGAAAACACACAGAUAAUUAAACAUGAAAUGAGGAAAAUUUUAAAGGAGACUGAUCCACAAAAAUUUAUACAGUUGAAAGAGAACUAUUUUAGGCAAUUAGAAGAAGAGGAGGAAACUAAUUUUCAGAAUUGCCUGAAAAAGAACUUAAAACACUAAAAAAGUCAACACUAAAAAAUUAUAAAACAAAUGUAAUUAAUUUUUUAAUAUUUUAGGUACUAUUUCCAAAGUCAAGAAUAAUGACGUCGGCGCAUUGUUAUAGAAUCAAUGCCAGAAUUAAUACAAAUAUGGCAAUUGAAAGCUUAAAUAAAGUUCUGAAGUACAACAAAAUGAAUGACAAGCAGAAUAUUAGGAUUGAAAAACUGUUGGAUUUACUGGAUGAACUUGUUGAUGAAAGAAUGUGGAAAAGGAUUAUAAACAUGGAAAGGCUAAAUGCAAAUAAUUGUUAGCACAAAAUAUGUCAGAGUGCACAUAAAAGAGCAGAAGAAAUGGUGGGUAAUAACGGUAAUGUAUCAUAUUCUGAAUUAGGACAUUUUAAGGCAAGGUCGUUUAGUGAUAAUCAUACAUGUGUAAUGUAUUGUGUAAAUUAUAUUGAGGUUUGUGAUGAGGACUGUAGGGCAAUGCAUUGUGAGAAGUGUAAAAUAUGUAAACAUAAAUAUAAUUGUGAUUCUCCAGAAUAUACUGUUAAAAGUGCCAUGUGUAAGCAUAUACAUGUUGUAGCUUUAUUUGAGCAGAGAAGCGAAUAUGUUUCAGGUUUCAUGGAUGAAAUGCAAGAAGAUAAUAAUCCGUAUAUCAAUGAACCUUCAACAAGCAAGACAGUUUAUGAGGAUGAAGUAAAUAAUUUUCUUGAUGAGACUGAAAAUAGAAUGAAUGUGACAAUUGAUUUUGAAAGAAAGCGUGAGAUUUGUCUAGAACAAUUUUGCUCUGAAAUUCGUAGUUAUGGUGGUGGAUUGGGUGAACAUGAUUUAAAGAAAAUGUAUGGGUGAUUUUAGAAAUUUUAUGCAGACAGUAAAACAAAAAGAAAUAAUGAUGAGUAAAAAAAGAAAAAUAGAAAAGCAGCAGUAUUAUCCCAACAAAAAACCUAAAUAAAUUUAUUUAUAAUAAAAUGUUGAUAACUACUUUAUUAUUACAUGACAUUGCUUUUGUGAGUGACCUAUUCUGGUAUUAUAUCUAAGUGGUGUUGGCUAUUUGUAUUCAUGUUGGCUUAUCAC